Molecule: ribosomal RNA, 491 nt
Filed under: uncultured bacterium
Lineage: Bacteria
Description: partial 16S ribosomal RNA
Rfam family: Bacterial small subunit ribosomal RNA
Source: RNAcentral
UUGCACGCUGGCGGCAUGCUUUACACAUGCAAGUCGAACGGUAACAGGCCUUCGGGUGCUGACGAGUGGCGAACGGGUGAGUAAUGCAUCGGAACGUACCCAGAGGUGGGGGAUAACGCAGCAAAAGCUGUGCUAAUACCGCAUGUGAUCUGAGGAUGAAAGCGGGGGACCGAGCAGCAAUGUUUGGCCUCGCGCCUUUGGAGCGGCCGAUGUCGGAUUAGCUAGUUGGUGGGGUAAAGGCCUACCAAGGCGACGAUCCGUAGCUGGUCUGAGAGGACGACCAGCCACACUGGGACUGAGACACGGCCCAGACUCCUACGGGAGGCAGCAGUGGGGAAUUUUGGACAAUGGGCGCAAGCCUGAUCCAGCAAUGCCGCGUGCGGGAAGAAGGCCUUCGGGUUGUAAACCGCUUUUGGCAGGAACGAAACGGUGUCCGCUAAUACCGGGCGCUAAUGACGGUACCUGCAGAAUAAGCACCGGCUAACUACGUG